RNAcentral lists this long non-coding RNA (2615 nucleotides) under Sus scrofa (pig). RNAcentral describes it as "lncRNA (ENSSSCG00000059740.1, ENSSSCG00175041023.1)". Lineage: Eukaryota; Metazoa; Chordata; Mammalia; Artiodactyla; Suidae. The record is from RNAcentral.
UUUGCUAUUUCUUGGGCCGCUCCCGUGGCAUAUGGAGGUUCCCAGGCUAGGGGUCCAAUCGGAGCUGUAGCCACCGGCCUACGCCAGAGCCACAGCAACGCGGGAUCCGAGCCACGUCUGCGACCUACACCACAGCUCACGGCAGAGCCGGAUCGUUAACUCACUGAGCAAGGGCAGGGACCGAACCUGCAACCUCAUGGUUCCUAGUCAGAUUCGUUAACCACUGCAAAGUAUUUUUGUUAAUUUUUGGAUAGCCUUGCAAAUAUUAAUAUGGAUACCUCAUUAUUCCAGCAGACUAAAGUUUUAUCUUAAUACUGCAGAGACAAUUUCAAGAUUUUUAUUGCAAAAGUUAAAUAAUUGUUGUAUAGUUCACUAUGACCAAUUUCAUUAACUUAAUAAAAUGUGGAAACAAUUAACCAAAAACAUUACAUGCAUGUUGUAGAGCAGUUCUAUCCAUUAGAUGUGGUAUAUGAACAUAAUGUGGUAUAUAAACAAAAUGUGUAUAUAAACAAAUAUAUACUAAUAUAUGUUGUGUAAAAACAAGGUGUGGCGUAUAAAAAAACUGAAUGAAUAAAGUAUGAUAUAUGUAUAUAUACAUACACAAUAAAAUAUCAUUUGGCCAUAAAAAAAAAUGAAGUUCUGGCAAAUGCAACACUGAUAAACAUUGACGAUAUGCAAAGUAAAGUAAAUCCUACACAAAAGGACAAGUAUUGUACUGCUCCAAUUAUAUGAGGUACCCAGAAAAGGCAAAUUCAAAGACUGAAAGUAGGUUAGAAGUUACCAGGGGCCAGAGAGAAAGGGAAUAUAACAAAUGUACCAUGGUAAUUAAUAUAAAAUAUUAAUAUAGGGGAACCUGUGGGGGGGAUAUUCUUUGUAACUUUUAUGUAAAUCUAUGAGAAUUCUUUGUAACUUUUAUGUAAAUCCCAAACUGCUUUAAAAACAAAAUAUUAUAAAAAAAAAACGAACAGAACUAUGAUAUAUCCACCACCAAAUUUUACUCUAUAAAUAGGUGACCACACAUUUUGAUCUUUCUAUGUGCUAAAAAUUAGACCUAAUACAAAUUCAAUAAAGGAAAUUGAAUCAAGUUUAUAAUAUCCUUUUUGAGACCCCUGAUGUGCAAGGAAAAUUUUGGAAUACCUGUUUUGUGAUACUGUGCUAAAAUACAAGCUAGACAAUCUACAGUCUUGUAUAUUUUGAAGAAAAUUAACUUACACAACUAUAAAAUGGUUAGAGCAGAACACUGAUAUACAUCAAAAUAUUUCUAGAUGGGCAACUGGAAAGAACUUUAAGAAAAACUGUUCAUAUUUUUACCAACUUUUACAAGGAUACCAUUGUACAGAAAUCAUUCCUCACACAAGGAAAUAUGGAUCAUGUUUUUAUGGCACCAUUAUUUGUGAAGGGCAGAAAACGCUUUAAAGUAAACUGUUAAAUAAACUGUUAAAUAAAUUAUAGUAUACAUGAAUUUUCAUUUCAAACUAGGAGCUAAGUAUUCUAAUAUGCAGUCCAGAGUCACAUGUUAAAUAUCAAAAUUGAUCAUUUUUAGAACAUAAAAUUGAAUGACUUGUGUAUGACAAGGUAUCCUGUUUAAGCCAUGCAAAGAUUUAUGGUAAGGCAGAGGGCUCUAUGAAUAUAUGAGUCAUGAAACAUCCCAUAAAAAUUGCUUUGAUAAGACUAUCUCAACCAAGAACAGAAGCAAUGUGCAGCAAAAGACAUGCAAGAAAGCACAGAUCAUGAAACAUUAUAAUACUGUUUCUGCUUUAGUUCUUCUAUUAUGUUACAUGUACUCUAAUUAAAAUCACCCUGCAUAUUAAUUUUAACAUGUAAAUUUUCCUAUUAUAAAGUCCAUGUAUGUAAACAUCAUAUGACAUCUUUAUAGUAUACCUAGAAGGAAAAAAAAGUAUAACAAGGGUUGGGAAAAAUAAAACCCUGGGUAGAGCUGACACAAAACAGAAUGAAAAAAAUCUCAACAUAGAGACCAUUCUAGUAAAUUGUUGAGGGGGAAAGUCAAGAGCCAUGAUUAAUAGUCAUGGACACAAAUAUUAUUAUAUAGAACCAAGAAAUUUAGAGUAUAUGGAAUAACAUCACAUAAAUGAAUCUAAACAUGGACAGGCAGCAAGUGGGCACAGCAAACAGUAACAUUUACAAUACUUAUACAACUGAAAUAAUUCCAUACUGUUACAGAAAAGACAGUUAAUGGGCUUACAAACCAAUGAGUCCAGAAGCAGACCCAAAUAAAUUAUGAGAAUUUAAUAUGUGACAGAUAUAAUUUUAAAUGAGCAAGCAAAAGAUGGAUUUCCAAUAAAUAGUACUGGACAAUUUACUAGCCCUUUAAAAUAGAAUGUGAGAUCAUUAUAUGACUACUGACACCAAAAUGAGAUCCAAAUGGAGCAGUGAUUUUGACUAAAUUAUAAAAAUACUAAAAAGAUGUUCAACUUGUAGAGCUGUUCAUGUGAUGUUAUUUUCUUUUAGCCUACCAUGUUGUAAUUAUAUUCAGAUUUCCUAAAUUUAAAUCAUCCUUGCAUGGCUGGCAUGAACACUACUUGCUUGUGUACUAGUUAUGAAUUUGCUCCUGGAUUCCUCUAAGUUUAAAUUUAGGUCAUUUGCUUAUACAGUUG